UUGAAAGGGAAACGAUUGAAGUCAGUCGUACCAGCGGAUAAUCAGCCUUUAGAUGCGAUUUUAUGGAGCGUGAGGAGCUAAUCGCCUUCAUGUCUGUAUAUUCGUGUACUUUGGGUGUACUUAUUCGUGUGGUAAGUUAACAUCAAUUUUGGUUGUCAUAAAAUGAUUGGAGGAAUGUAGCUUCGAUCUCGUAUUGAAGUGUUAUAGCCUUUGGUAGAUGUGAUGAUCGGGAUUGAGGAUUGCAACGGAUACCCUUCGGGGCUACCUGUCUGAUCUCUGAUUGUUGCUCUGGUGCUGAAAGCUCGCUUAUGGUUAUCAAAGUCGAUGGUCAAUAGGUUAGAAUGGGUUAAAUUCGUUAAGGAUGUUGACGUA
Molecule: ribosomal RNA, 372 nt
Filed under: uncultured Glomeromycotina
Lineage: Eukaryota; Fungi; Glomeromycota
Description: LSU rRNA
Source: RNAcentral